RNAcentral lists this ribosomal RNA (802 nucleotides) under uncultured bacterium. RNAcentral describes it as "bacterial SSU rRNA". It matches the Rfam family "Bacterial small subunit ribosomal RNA", at positions 146 to 933 of the family's 1533-position model. The record is from RNAcentral.
ACACGUGGAAACAGAUGCUAAUACCGCAUAACAACUUGGACCGCAUGGUCCGAGCUUGGAAGAUGGCUUCGGCUAUCACUUUUGGAUGGUCCCGCGGCGUAUUAGCUAGAUGGUGGGGUAAUGGCUCACCAUGGCAAUGAUACGUAGCCGACCUGAGAGGGUAAUCGGCCACAUUGGGACUGAGACACGGCCCAAACUCCUACGGGAGGCAGCAGUAGGGAAUCUUCCACAAUGGACGAAAGUCUGAUGGAGCAACGCCGCGUGGGUGAAGAAGGGUUUCGGCUCGUAAAACUCUGUUGUUAAAGAAGAACAUAUCUGAGAGUAACUGUUCAGGUAUUGACGGUAUUUAACCAGAAAGCCACGGCUAACUACGUGCCAGCAGCCGCGGUAAUACGUAGGUGGCAAGCGUUGUCCGGAUUUAUUGGGCGUAAAGCGAGCGCAGGCGGUUUUUUAAGUCUGAUGUGAAAGCCUUCGGCUCAACCGAAGAAGUGCAUCGGAAACUGGGAAACUUGAGUGCAGAAGAGGACAGUGGAACUCCAUGUGUAGCGGUGAAAUGCGUAGAUAAAUGGAAGAACACCAGUGGCGAAGGCGGCUGUCUGGUCUGUAACUGACGCUGAGGCUCGAAAGUACGGGUAGCAAACAGGAUUAGAUACCCUGGUAGUCCAUACCGUAAACGAUGAAUGCUAAGUGUUGGAGGGUUUCCGCCCUUCAGUGCUGCAGCUAACGCAUUAAGCAUUCCGCCUGGGGAGUACGGCCGCAAGGCUGAAACUCAAAGGAAUUGACGGGGGCCCGCACAAGCGGU